This 550-nucleotide ribosomal RNA is filed under the name Penicillium chrysogenum. RNAcentral's name for it is "eukaryotic LSU rRNA". The stretch from base 165 to 317 matches the Rfam family "5.8S ribosomal RNA". The record is from RNAcentral. Lineage: Eukaryota; Fungi; Ascomycota; Eurotiomycetes; Eurotiales; Aspergillaceae.
CCUCUGGGUCCAACCUCCCACCCGUGUUUAUUUUACCUUGUUGCUUCGGCGGGCCCGCCUUAACUGGCCGCCGGGGGGCUCACGCCCCCGGGCCCGCGCCCGCCGAAGACACCCUCGAACUCUGUCUGAAGAUUGUAGUCUGAGUGAAAAUAUAAAUUAUUUAAAACUUUCAACAACGGAUCUCUUGGUUCCGGCAUCGAUGAAGAACGCAGCGAAAUGCGAUACGUAAUGUGAAUUGCAAAUUCAGUGAAUCAUCGAGUCUUUGAACGCACAUUGCGCCCCCUGGUAUUCCGGGGGGCAUGCCUGUCCGAGCGUCAUUGCUGCCCUCAAGCACGGCUUGUGUGUUGGGCCCCGUCCUCCGAUCCCGGGGGACGGGCCCGAAAGGCAGCGGCGGCACCGCGUCCGGUCCUCGAGCGUAUGGGGCUUUGUCACCCGCUCUGUAGGCCCGGCCGGCGCUUGCCGAUCAACCCAAAUUUUUAUCCAGGUUGACCUCGGAUCAGGUAGGGAUACCCGCUGAACUUAAGCAUAUCAAUAAGCGGAGGACUUACCU